RNAcentral lists this ribosomal RNA (882 nucleotides) under Mycobacterium tuberculosis. RNAcentral's name for it is "bacterial SSU rRNA". It matches the Rfam family "Bacterial small subunit ribosomal RNA", at positions 83 to 977 of the family's 1533-position model. Lineage: Bacteria; Bacillati; Actinomycetota; Actinomycetes; Mycobacteriales; Mycobacteriaceae. The record is from RNAcentral.
CCUUUCCGAAGGUGGGCGAACGGGUGAGUAACACGUGGGUGAUCUGCCCUGCACUUCGGGAUAAGCCUGGGAAACUGGGUCUAAUACCGGAUAGGACCACGGGAUGCAUGUCUUGUGGUGGAAAGCGCUUUAGCGGUGUGGGAUGAGCCCGCGGCCUAUCAGCUUGUUGGUGGGGUGACGGCCUACCAAGGCGACGACGGGUAGCCGGCCUGAGAGGGUGUCCGGCCACACUGGGACUGAGAUACGGCCCAGACUCCUACGGGAGGCAGCAGUGGGGAAUAUUGCACAAUGGGCGCAAGCCUGAUGCAGCGACGCCGCGUGGGGGAUGACGGCCUUCGGGUUGUAAACCUCUUUCACCAUCGACGAAGGUCCGGGUUCUCUCGGAUUGACGGUAGGUGGAGAAGAAGCACCGGCCAACUACGUGCCAGCAGCCGCGGUAAUACGUAGGGUGCGAGCGUUGUCCGGAAUUACUGGGCGUAAAGAGCUCGUAGGUGGUUUGUCGCGUUGUUCGUGAAAUCUCACGGCUUAACUGUGAGCGUGCGGGCGAUACGGGCAGACUAGAGUACUGCAGGGGAGACUGGAAUUCCUGGUGUAGCGGUGGAAUGCGCAGAUAUCAGGAGGAACACCGGUGGCGAAGGCGGGUCUCUGGGCAGUAACUGACGCUGAGGAGCGAAAGCGUGGGGAGCGAACAGGAUUAGAUACCCUGGUAGUCCACGCCGUACACGGUGGGUACUAGGUGUGGGUUUCCUUCCUUUGGAUCCGUGCCGUAGCUAACGCAUUAAGUACCCCGGCUGGGGAGUACGGCCGCAAGGCUAAACUCAAGGAAUGGACGGGGCCGCACAGCGCGAGCAUGUGAUAUCGAUGCAACGCGACAUCUACUGG